RNAcentral lists this ribosomal RNA (694 nucleotides) under uncultured bacterium. RNAcentral's name for it is "bacterial SSU rRNA". It matches the Rfam family "Bacterial small subunit ribosomal RNA", at positions 32 to 715 of the family's 1533-position model. The record is from RNAcentral.
AACGCUAGCUACAGGCUUAACACAUGCAAGUCGAGGGGCAGCAUGAUUGAAGCUUGCUUCAAUUGAUGGCGACCGGCGCACGGGUGAGUAACACGUAUCCAACCUUCCGUACACUCAGGGAUAGCCUUUCGAAAGAAAGAUUAAUACCUGAUGGUAUCUUAAGCACACAUGUAAUUAAGAUUAAAGAUUUAUCGGUGUACGAUGGGGAUGCGUUCCAUUAGGUAGUAGGCGGGGUAACGGCCCACCUAGCCUACGAUGGAUAGGGGUUCUGAGAGGAAGGUCCCCCACAUUGGAACUGAGACACGGUCCAAACUCCUACGGGAGGCAGCAGUGAGGAAUAUUGGUCAAUGGACGAGAGUCUGAACCAGCCAAGUAGCGUGAAGGAUGAAGGUCCUACGGAUUGUAAACUUCUUUUAUAAGGGAAUAAAACCUCCCACGUGUGGGAGCUUGUAUGUACCUUAUGAAUAAGCAUCGGCUAACUCCGUGCCAGCAGCCGCGGUAAUACGGAGGAUGCGAGCGUUAUCCGGAUUUAUUGGGUUUAAAGGGAGCGUAGACGGGUCGUUAAGUCAGCUGUGAAAGUUUGAGGCUCAACCUUAAAAUUGCAGUUGAUACUGGCGUCCUUGAGUACGGUUGAGGCAGGCGGAAUUCGUGGUGUAGCGGUGAAAUGCUUAGAUAUCACGAAGAACUCCGAUUG